AGCGAACGCUGGCGGCAGGCUUAACACAUGCAAGUCGAGCGGGCAUCCAUGUGGUGUCAGCGGCAGACGGGUGAGUAACGCGUGGGAACGUGCCCUUCGGUUCGGAAUAACUCAGGGAAACUUGAGCUAAUACCGGAUACGUGCGAGAACAGAAAGGUUUAUCUGCCGAAGGAUCGGCCCGCGUCUGAUUAGCUAGGUGGUGAGGUUAUGGCUCACCAAUGCGACGAUCAGUAGCUGGUCUGAGAGGAUGAUCAGCCACACUGGGGCUGAGACACGGCCCAGAAUCCUACGGGAGGCAGCAGUGGGGAAUACUGGAAAAUGGGGGCAACGCUGAUCCAGCCAGGCCGGGUGAGUGAUGUUGGUCUUAGGGUUGUAAAGCUCUUUUCUCCGGGACGAUAAUGACGGUACCGGAGGAAUAAGCCCCGGCUAACUUCGUG
This 437-nucleotide ribosomal RNA is filed under the name uncultured bacterium. RNAcentral describes it as "partial 16S ribosomal RNA". It matches the Rfam family "Bacterial small subunit ribosomal RNA", at positions 29 to 507 of the family's 1533-position model. The record is from RNAcentral.